Molecule: long non-coding RNA, 1074 nt
Organism: Larimichthys crocea (large yellow croaker)
Lineage: Eukaryota; Metazoa; Chordata; Actinopteri; Sciaenidae
Exons: 5
Source: RefSeq, a predicted model, not a curated record
GGGGGUCCUGUCCUUAGGUCGCUCAGGAUUUUGCAGUGAUACAGCCAGAGUGUUCUGAAAAGGUAUGCCUAAGUUGGCUGAGAAGAUCAUUCGUAUGGCCAGUAAGGAGAAGACUGGAGACCUUCCUUGCAAACAUCGAUUCACUCUCAGCAGGUAUUCACAUAGAGCUGGUGGCCCCUUUUGCCCUCAGAAUCCUGAUCCUGAGAUGCCUCCUGACGACCCAGUCCUCCCUCAAUGCGAGGAAGACAUCAUCGGGCUGGUUGUUUAGCUUCGGGAGGCUGAAGCUGUGCCUCGCGACGGGAACGGAGAUGGUGGAAGGGUGGAAGAUGGCAGACCUCCCUCUCCUCCACUCCAGCAGUGAAAUGAUGGCUGGUUUGUUUGAGGAGUCUGCCAAGGACAGCCUUUCAUCUUCUAACCUAGGGGAUCGUGAUGUGCCCUUCACUCCUGUCCUCGGCUCCUCUGGAAGGAGGCGCAGGGAGGACAGCGACGAGGAGGAGGAGCCUGCUGCCAAGGUGCCACAUUGGUCCGAUGACAGUGACUCGGAUUGAGGAUGAUAACCAGGUAGCAUCUUGCACUGGGACCAUCCAUCAUCUCCUUAUGUAAAUAGUUACAAACAUUUAUUUAUUUUUACUUCAAACUUAUUUAACUCUGUGGGGCAGCUUCUGUCUCUGGCUGGGCAAACAAAGCCCCAGACAGCCUCUGCGUCUGGCGGGGCUGUCAACCCCUCGUGUACAGGGCAGGAUAGGAUAACAACUUAAAUGUAUGGUGAGAGAGACAGGGAGGAAGAUGGCAAAAAGCUGCAAAGAACUAUAAAACAAAGCCACUUCCACUCUCACCACCAAGAAAGCUCCUCAAAGGAGCAUUUUAGACUUAAUGCAGCUUUAAAAAACACAAAAACACCAAACCUCUGACUCAACAGACGACAUCUUCUGGAGCUCUGUCUUCUUCACAAGGACAAAAAAAAGCUGCUGCUGUUCACCGUGUCCUGAGCCCCCCUGAGCGAGGAUGUAAACUGAAGCACAGAAAUAAACAUCAUGUCAGUUCAUUGAGCUGACUUUGUCACUCUGCUUUUAA